RNAcentral lists this ribosomal RNA (241 nucleotides) under Bordetella holmesii. RNAcentral's name for it is "partial 23S ribosomal RNA". It matches the Rfam family "Bacterial large subunit ribosomal RNA", at positions 2176 to 2416 of the family's 2925-position model. Lineage: Bacteria; Pseudomonadati; Pseudomonadota; Betaproteobacteria; Burkholderiales; Alcaligenaceae. The record is from RNAcentral.
UCCGCGGGAGCCGACCUUGAAAUACCACCCUGGUUUGUUGGCGGGUCUAACCUUGGUCCGUUAUCCGGAUCGGGGACAGGGCAUGGUGGGCAGUUUGACUGGGGCGGUCUCCUCCCAAAGUGUAACGGAGGAGCGCGAAGGUACGCUAGGUACGGUCGGAAAUCGUGCUGAUAGUGCAAUGGCAUAAGCGUGCUUGACUGUGCGACUGACAAGUCGAACAGGUGCGAAAGCAGGACAUAGU